UACGGAGGGUGCAAACGUUGCUCGGAAUCAUUGGGCGUAAAGCGCACGUAGGCGGACCGCUAAGUCGGAUGUGAAAGCCCUCGGCUUAACCGAGGAAGUGCAUUCGAAACUGACGGUCUUGAGUAUGGAAGAGGGUCGCGGAAUUCCCGGUGUAGAGGUGAAAUUCGUAGAUAUCGGGAGGAACACCAGUGGCGAAGGCGGCGACCCGGGCCAAUACUGACGCUGAGGUGCGAAAGCGUGGGGAGCAAACAGG
This 253-nucleotide ribosomal RNA is filed under the name uncultured bacterium. RNAcentral describes it as "partial 16S ribosomal RNA". It matches the Rfam family "Bacterial small subunit ribosomal RNA", at positions 524 to 776 of the family's 1533-position model. The record is from RNAcentral.